GUCACAUGCGCCGAAUACAACAGUGAAAUGCUUACUUACAAGCCCUUAACCAACAAUGCAGUUUUAAGAAAAUACCUAAAAAAGGAGAUAAAAGUAACAAGUAAUUAAAUAGCAGCAGUAAAAUAACAAUAGUGAGGUUUUAUACAGGGGUACCUGUACAGAGUCAAUGUGGAGGCUAUAUACAGGGGGUACCAGUACAGAGUCAAUGUGGAGGCUAUAUACAGGAGGUACCAGUACAGAGUCAAUGUGGAGGCUAUAUACAGGGGUACCGGUACAGAGUCAAUGUGGAGGCUAUAUACAGGGGUACUGGUACAGAGUCAAUGUACAGAGUCAAUGUGGAGGCUAUAUACAGGGGUACCGGUACAGAGUGAAUGUGGAGGCUAUAUACAGGUGGUACCGGUACAGAGUCAAUGUGGAGGCUAUAUACAGGGGUACUGGUACAGAGUCAAUGUGGAGGCUAUAUACAGGGGGUACCGGUACAGAGUCAAUGUACAGAGUCAAUGUGGAGGCUAUAUAAGUAAUAUGUACAUGUAGGUGGAGUUGUUAAAGUGACUAUGCAUAGAUAAUAACAGAGUAGCAGCAGCAUAGAAGAGGGG
This 596-nucleotide long non-coding RNA is filed under the name Salmo salar (Atlantic salmon). Its description in RNAcentral is "lncRNA (ENSSSAG00000120634.1)". Lineage: Eukaryota; Metazoa; Chordata; Actinopteri; Salmoniformes; Salmonidae. The record is from RNAcentral.